UACCUUUUCAGCUCCCAAUUGACAAGAAACAAAAAGACAUCCUCUCAUAAAUUGACAACGUUAUUUGCACCGUUCAUCAGAAUCCCACAAGUUUAAAAAACAAUAAUUGCUACCUGGCCCUACCAUUCUCAUAGUCCCUUGAAACUACACCUUCUUCUGUUCUUUACGAAAUUUACAAAAAUUCAUGGGAAAUUACUCAACUUUAUAAUAAUGAGCAAACGGCUGAGAAGAAUCCUCCAUGCUUGCUUCUUCAAUUAACAUAAAGAUUUGCUUAUCAUUGUUAAACCAGCAACUGCCUUGCCUUUCCAUUCAAUUUUAAACAAUAAUCAGCAAUAAAUACAUUUAUUGAUUCAACAAAUUUUCAUAUUAUAACUAAGUGAUAUUACAAUUAAUUAUUUUUCAUACACUACAUUAAGUUUAAAGUCUAUAUAUUUUUUAAGCAUACUCAGAAUCAAAACCGAAACGCACACUCUGACCAACCAUAGACAAUAAACACAAUCGUAGCAGCCCUGUCCAGCAAAAUUCUUGAAGUCCAAAACAAAACAAAGCACUUACUCACAGUUGAUGAAUUUUAUCUUGAAACCACAUGUCAAGUGGGUCCAAAAUCCAAAGGGAUAGCUCUUGAAUCCCUCACGAAUUAUGAGGCAGUUAACACUUGAACAUUCUCAAACUACUCUAUGCACGCUAAUCGUGUAACCUACUCUCUGCUUUGGCAUCAUCCAUUUUUAAUUUAAUAAUAAUAAUAAUUAAUCAACAUAAAUUCAUUAAAUUGAAAAUGCAUGCAUAAAUCUCACUAUAUGUAUCAAGAAAAUCAAAUGCUUUUUCAAAAUAGAAAAAUUGAAGCGGAACUAUAAAAUUAUUAGCUGUUUAGCAGUUAAUAUAUAUAUAUAUAUAUAAUAAUAAUAGCAUUUCAAAGUGGUUGGCUAUCAUGGUAAGCGUUUAAACAUGUGGGAAUCCAUUUCUCUAUAAAGCUCUCGAGCUUGUUGAGUAAAAUAAAAUUCCUGUAAGAAAAAGAAAUAUAAACCAAACGAAGUUAAAAGAGGAGUUGAAUAUGUAUAAAGACUAGGUUGCGAGUUUUUCUUGGAGAAAUUAAUGAGUUUAGGAUUUAGAUUGCGUUUACUUAAGGAAGUUUUUAAGCUUUUGAAUUCUUUUUCCAUCUCUAUCCUUGGAGGAAUUCUCGUUAGAUUUAAACUCUACCGCUUUCAUUUAUCCCAACUUUUUAAACCAUCCACCUUUUUUUGUCUUGAGUUGAAGCCCAUAGACACGACCACAUAAAAUAUUAAGAUGUAUCACCCAUCGGUGACCUCACUCAUACUUAAUGGCACACAUGCUCACAGCAAUCAAAACCAUCUUUCAACAAUGGCCUUCGUUUCUGAGUUGCUCCAGCUGCGGCCUAUCGAGCAAACACAGGAUAAAGCAAAUCCACAGGACUUCCAAUAUGCGUGGAGAUAAUUUCUGCUUGCAAAUAGCACUUUGUAAGUAUACAAUAAAUGCAUAUAAACAUUCAUCAAUGACUACAAGUGGCAUAACAAAAUAGAAAAUCCACACUUACAAGGAACCAUUUUAUCAUUCAAGCUUCCAGGAAGCUUCAGAAUCUAACUACAAAGUUCAGUACACUGUAACCAUGCUAACAAUCUACAAAAUGUUAAAGCAAGCAUGAUCAUGCUCCCAGUCAUUUAUCAGGGAGCAGCUGGAAAAUUGCUACUGGGUUUCUUUAAGGACUUGCAGAAAAAGGAGAAGGCUGCUUUUAGUUCAUUUGGAAGAGGAACUGAAAGAGGAAGAGAAAAGGGGUGAGUUGCAUAAUGGUAAUCACCAGGGACAGCCAUUGAAUGAGAUGCAUCACGGUAGCUGCAUCUGUAUCUC
This 1863-nucleotide unclassified non-coding RNA is filed under the name Hevea brasiliensis (rubber tree). The record is from RNAcentral. Lineage: Eukaryota; Viridiplantae; Streptophyta; Magnoliopsida; Malpighiales; Euphorbiaceae.